This 1071-nucleotide ribosomal RNA is filed under the name Arthrobotrys eudermata. RNAcentral describes it as "SSU rRNA". It matches the Rfam family "Eukaryotic small subunit ribosomal RNA", at positions 54 to 1131 of the family's 1831-position model. The record is from RNAcentral. Lineage: Eukaryota; Fungi; Ascomycota; Orbiliomycetes; Orbiliales; Orbiliaceae.
CAUGUUAACUAGUAUAAGCAACUAUACAGUGAAACUGCGAAUGGCUCAUUAAAUCAGUUAUCGUUUAUUUGAUAGUACCUUACUACUUGGAUAACCGUGGUAAUUCUAGAGCUAAUACAUGCUAAAAAUCCCGACCUCUGGAAGGGAUGUAUUUAUUAGAUAAAAAACCAAUGCCUUCGGGCUCCUUGGUGAUUCAUGAUAACUUAACGAAUCGCAUGGCCUUGCGCCGGCGAUGGUUCAUUCAAAUUUCUGCCCUAUCAACUUUCGAUGGUAGGAUAGUGGCCUACCAUGGUUUCAACGGGUAACGGGGAAUUAGGGUUCGAUUCCGGAGAGGGAGCCUGAGAAACGGCUACCACAUCCAAGGAAGGCAGCAGGCGCGCAAAUUACCCAAUCCCAAUUCGGGGAGGUAGUGACAAUAAAUACUGAUACAGGGCUCUUUUGGGUCUUGUAAUUGGAAUGAGUACAAUUUAAAUCCCUUAACGAGGAACAAUUGGAGGGCAAGUCUGGUGCCAGCAGCCGCGGUAAUUCCAGCUCCAAUAGCGUAUAUUAAAGUUGUUGCAGUUAAAAAGCUCGUAGUUGAACCUUGGGCCUGGCUGCUCGGUCCGCCUAACCGCGUGCACUGAUGCGGCCGGGUCUUUCCUUCUGGCUAACCGCAUGCUCUUUACUGGGUGUGCUGGGGAUCCAGGACUUUUACUUUGAAAAAAUUAGAGUGUUCAAAGCAGGCCUUUGCUCGAAUACAUUAGCAUGGAAUAAUAGAAUAGGACGUGCGGUUCUAUUUUGUUGGUUUCUAGAGCCACCGUAAUGAUUAAUAGGGAUAGUCGGGGGCAUCAGUAUUCAAUUGUCAGAGGUGAAAUUCUUGGAUUUAUUGAAGACUAACUACUGCGAAAGCAUUUGCCAAGGAUGUUUUCAUUAAUCAGUGAACGAAAGUUAGGGGAUCGAAGACGAUCAGAUACCGUCGUAGUCUUAACCAUAAACUAUGCCGACUAGGGAUCGGGCGGUGCUCUAACUUAUGACCCGCUCGGCACCUUACGAGAAAUCAAAGUUUUUGGGUUCUGGGGGGGAGUAUGGUCG